AGAGUUUGAUCCUGGCUCAGAUUGAACGCUGGCGGCAUGCUUUACACAUGCAAGUCGGACGGCAGCACAGAGAAGCUUGCUUCUUGGGUGGCGAGUGGCGAACGGGUGAGUAACAUAUCGGAACGUACCGAGCAGUGGGGGAUAACUAAUCGAAAGAUUAGCUAAUACCGCAUAUAUUCUGAGGAAGAAAGCAGGGGACCAUUUGGCCUUGCGCUGUUUGAGCGGCCGAUAUCUGAUUAGCUAGUUGGUGGGGUAAAGGCCUACCAAGGCGACGAUCAGUAGCGGGUCUGAGAGGAUGAUCCGCCACACUGGGACUGAGACACGGCCCAGACUCCUACGGGAGGCAGCAGUGGGGAAUUUUGGACAAUGGGCGCAAGCCUGAUCCAGCCAUGCCGCGUGUCUGAAGAAGGCCUUCGGGUUGUAAAGGACUUUUGUCAGGGAAGAAAAGGGCGGGGUUAAUACCCCUGUCUGAUGACGGUACCUGAAGAAUAAGCACCGGCUAACUACGUGCCAGCCGCCGCGGUAAU
This 527-nucleotide ribosomal RNA is filed under the name uncultured Neisseria sp. Its description in RNAcentral is "bacterial SSU rRNA". It matches the Rfam family "Bacterial small subunit ribosomal RNA", at positions 8 to 524 of the family's 1533-position model. Lineage: Bacteria; Pseudomonadati; Pseudomonadota; Betaproteobacteria; Neisseriales; Neisseriaceae. The record is from RNAcentral.